Fukomys damarensis (Damara mole-rat) is the source of this 4854-nucleotide RNA transcript. It is a transcript of the gene named phospholipase C eta 2, with no coding region annotated. Lineage: Eukaryota; Metazoa; Chordata; Mammalia; Rodentia; Bathyergidae. The record is from RefSeq and is a predicted model, not a curated record. The transcript has 23 exons.
CAGCAGCGGCGGGCGGCGGGCAGCGGCGGCAGGCUUUGAACCAGCAUGGGUGCUGCGUGCGGGGAGCCCUGGCUGAGGCUGGGGCGCAGGGGGCAGUGGAGGCUGGCACAGGGUACUGGCCCUCUGUGGCUGUGCUGGUAACUGAGAUUGGUCCCCAGGGGCCAUGGAAGAGCCUGGGCCACUUGGUGGGCUCAGCCAGGACCAAGUGGAGCGGUGCAUGAGUGCCAUGCAGGAGGGGACGCAGAUGGUGAAGCUCCGCGGCAGUUCCAAGGGCCUGGCCCGCUUCUACUACCUGGAUGAGCAUCGCUCCUGCCUGCGCUGGAGGCCCUCACGCAAAAACGAGAAGGCCAAGAUCUCCAUCGACUCCAUCCAGGAGGUGAGUGAGGGGCGGCAGUCUGAGAUAUUCCAGCGCUACCCUGAUGGCAGCUUUGACCCCAACUGCUGCUUUAGCAUCUACCAUGGCAGCCACCGCGAGUCGCUGGACCUGGUCUCGCCCAGCGGGGACGAGGCUCGGACCUGGGUCACCGGCCUGCGCUACCUCUUAGCUGGCAUCAGCGACGAGGACAGCUUGGCCCGCCGUCAGCGCACCCGGGACCAGUGGCUGAAGCAGACAUUCGACGAGGCCGACAAGAACGGGGACGGCAGCCUGAACAUCAGCGAGGUCCUGCAGCUGCUGCACAAGCUCAACGUGAACCUGCCCCGGCAGCGCGUGAAGCAGAUGUUCAGGGAGGCAGACACGGAUGACCGGCAGGGGAUGCUGGGCUUCGAGGAGUUCUGUGCCUUCUACAAGAUGAUGUCCACACGCCGGGACCUCUACCUGCUGCUGCUCACCUACAGCAACCACAAGGACUACCUGGACGCGGCUGACCUGCAGCGCUUCCUGGAGGUGGAGCAGAAGAUGCAGGGUGUGACCCUCCAGAGCUGCUAUGACAUCAUCCAGCAGUUUGAGCCCUGCCCGGAAAACAAGUGCAAGGGGGUGCUGGGCAUCGACGGCUUCACUAACUACACGCGGAGCCCUGCGGGUGACAUCUUUAACCCCGAGCACCAUGGCGUCCACCAGGACAUGACGCAGCCCCUGAGCCACUAUUUCAUCACCUCGUCCCACAACACCUACCUCGUUGGGGACCAGCUCAUGUCACAGUCGCGGGCCGACAUGUACACGCGGGUCCUACAGGCUGGCUGCCGCUGUGUGGAGGUGGACUGCUGGGACGGGCCCGACGGGGAGCCCAUUGUCCACCACGGCUACACGCUGACCUCCAAGAUCCUCUUCAGAGAUGUCAUUGAGACCAUCAACAAGUACGCCUUCCUGAAGAACAAGUACCCUGUGAUCCUGUCCAUUGAGAACCACUGCAGUGUUGCCCAGCAGAAGAAGAUGGCUCAGUACCUGACCGACAUCCUUGGGGACAAGCUGGACCUGUCGGCUGUGAGCGGUGAGGACGCCACCAUGCUUCCUUCGCCCCAGAUGCUCAAGGGCAAGAUCCUGGUCAAGGGGAAGAAGCUUCCGGCCAACAUCAGCGAGGACGCGGAGGAAGGCGAGGUGUCAGAUGAAGACAGUGCUGACGAGAUCGAUGAGGACUGCAAACUCCUCAACGGGGACGCCUCCACCAAUCGGAAGCGUGUGGAAAACAUCGCCAAGAAGAAACUGGAUUCUCUAAUCAAGGAGUCAAAGAUUCGGGACUGUGAAGACCCCAAUGACUUCGCUGUGUCCACCUUGCCCCCAGGGAAACCUGGGCACAGAGCAGAGGCCAGAAAGGAGCUGCCCCGUCCUGAGCAGCUAGGAGUGGGAUGCUGGGCACCUCCUGGGCAGAACAAGGCUGAGGAGGAUGUGGAGUCAAGGGAGGACACCCGGGCCAGCAGACGUGAUGGACGCCUGCUCAUGAGCAGCUUCUCCAAGCGCAAGAAAAAGGGCAGCAAGCUGAAGAAGGUGGCAAGCAUGGAGGAGGGGGAUGAGGACCCAGACUCGGCAGGAAGCCAGACACGAGGGACAGCCCGACAGAAGAAGACCAUGAAGCUGUCUCGGGCCCUCUCGGACCUGGUGAAAUACACCAAGUCUGUGGGCUCUCACGACGUGGAGAUGGAGGUGGCCUCCAGCUGGCAGGUGUCGUCCUUCAGCGAGACCAAGGCCCACCAGAUCCUGCAGCAGAAGCCGGCACAGUACCUGCGCUUCAACCAGCACCAGCUUUCGCGGAUCUAUCCCUCAUCCUACCGCGUGGACUCCAGCAACUACAACCCGCAGCCCUUCUGGAAUGCCGGCUGCCAGAUGGUCGCCCUGAACUACCAGUCGGAGGGGCGGAUGCUGCAGCUGAAUCGGGCCAAGUUCAGUGCCAACGGCAACUGUGGCUACGUGCUCAAGCCCCCGUGCAUGUGCCAGGGCGUCUUCAACCCCAACUCUGAGGACCCCCUGCCUGGACGGCCGAAGAAGCAGCUGGCCUUGAGGGUCAUCAGUGGGCAGCAGCUCCCCAAGCCUCGGGACUCCAUGCUGGGCGACCGCGGGGAGAUCAUCGACCCCUUCGUGGAGGUGGAGGUCAUUGGGCUUCCCGUGGACUGCAGCAAGGAACAGACCCGUGUUGUGGAUGACAAUGGAUUCAACCCCAUGUGGGAGGAGACGCUGGUGUUCAUGAUGCACAUGCCUGAGAUCGCGCUGGUGCGCUUCCUUGUCUGGGACCACGACCCCAUCGGGCGCGACUUCAUCGGCCAGAGGACGCUGGCCUUCAGCAGCAUGAUGCCAGGCUAUCGGCACGUGUACCUGGAGGGGAUGGAAGAGGCCUCCAUCUUCGUGCAUGUGGCCAUCAGCGACAUCAGUGGUAAGGCCAAGCAGGCUCUGGGCCUAAAAGGCCUCUUCCUCCGCGGCACAAAGCCAGGCUCCCUGGACAGUCAUGCUGCUGGGCAGCCCCCACCCCGGCCCUCCGUUAGCCAGCGGCUUCUGCGGCGCACGGCCAGCGCCCCGACUAAGAGCCAGAAGCCGGGCCGCAAGGGCUUCCCAGAACUGGCGCUGGGCACACAGGAUGUGGGCUCUGAGGAGGCAGCUGAUGACACGGUGCCCCCUAGCCCUUGUCCCACUCUGGAGACCCCGGCCCAUGAUGGGCCAGGCAGCAGCAUCCCCCGAGGUAAGGCACCGGGGGCAGCAGCAGUAGCUGCUGAGCGAAGGAGCCCCGUGCAGGUGCGGCCCCUGCGUGGCCUCAAGGGCUCUGGGCCCGCCGGGAUGGCCUCCACGUGCAUGAAGUGCGUGGUGGGCUCCUGCACUGGUACAGACAACGAGGGCCUGUGGAGGGAGCGGCAGCCCAGCCCAGGGCCCGCAGGCAGGCUCACGACCAUCUGCCAACAGCCCCAGGCCUGGGUGGAAGCGCCUGGGAGUCCCUGCAGCCCCGGCCCUCGAGCUGCCCCAGGGAGAAGCAAAGAGGCCUCUAAGGGCUCCGGGGCCCAGCGGCAGGGCGCAGGCGGCAGCAGCAGUUCUGUGUCCUUGGACUCCAGCAGCCUAGACAACCCGGGCAGCCCCCAAGUGGCCCCCUGCCCGCCAGGGGGUGCCCACAGACAGCUGGGGGCCCUGCAGGGAGAGAUGAAUGCUUUGUUCACUCAAAAGCUGGAGGAGAUGAGGAAUAGUUCCCCCAUGUUCUCCACGGGUAAGGCCAGUGCUCCUCUGCACUGCGUGCUCUGCACACCCUGGCAUGCCUGGGGCUCCAUCCCCCGUUGUGUUCCUGUCUGCUUCAGUGUGCUCCUGCGGCCCUGUCUGCCCCUCUACACCAGAAACCCCAGCACUCUGCGGGCGACACCAGGCGAAUUUGGGUCACUUGCUGUGCCUGACCCCUGGUCCAGCCAGGCCUCUCCCGGCCUAGUGGUGCAGUGAUGGGGCACCACAGAUGUCCUGUGCCAAAGGUGGCUGGGCCUGCAUGCGGGACCUCGGAGUUUGUGGAGGGCUGAGCGCACUUCCCUUGCUCAGAGCCAGCUCCUGGAGCUGCCACCCAGUCCCGCAGUGAGCAGAGUGGGGAGCUGGGUGCCAGACCGCAGCCUGGGUGGGAGGGACAUGUACUGAGCCCCUCAUCCUGCUCUGCACCCCUGCCUGUCUUGCUGUCCGUCCACCCCUCUGCCAGCCCCACCCUGCUGACCUUGUUCUCCUUUCUGUCCCUGCACCCCGGGCUGCCUCCAUAGUUAGGGACUGAGAGCCGCGUACCAGGUGCCCGCCCGUUCUCCACACAGCGGUCCAUCUCCCCCUUGUGCAGCCUGGAGCCCAUCGAGGAGGAGGCGGCCACCCCCACCAGCCCUCCCAGGGGGCGGUCCCUGCACUCCGCAGGACCUGUGGCCAAAGCGGCCAGUCCCCUACAGAUAGCUCGGGGACCUCCAGGGCCCCUCCAGCUUAGGACUGGGGUCCAUGGGAACAGUGAAGAGGCUCCUGGAAAGCUGCUCAAUGGUGAGGGGCCCACGGGCAGCCAGACAGACAGCAGGAGCCAGCCUCGAGCCCUGGUCCUUCUGCCUGCAGUCAGAAGGGCCAAGAGUGAGGGUCAAGUGCCCCUGGAGCCCCUGGGUGCAUGGCGGCCGCUGGCUGGGCCCGCUCCCAUCCCUGCUGUCUACUCGGAUGCCACAGGCAGCGACCGGACAUGGCAGCGGCUGGAGCCAGGCAGCCACCGAGACAGCGUGUCCUCCUCUUCCAGCAUGUCCUCCAGCGACACAGUCAUCGACCUCUCCCUGACGAGCCUGGUUCUGGGCCGCAGCCGUGAGAGCCUGGCUGGGACCCCCCUGGGCCGCCUGCCCCCACGGCCCUGCACAGCCUCUACAGCCCCGCCCGACCUGCUUCCCGUGACCAAGAGUAAAUCGAACCCCAACCUGCGGGACGCUGGCCAACUGCCUCCCACACCCGAC